Molecule: ribosomal RNA, 254 nt
Filed under: uncultured bacterium
Lineage: Bacteria
Description: partial 16S ribosomal RNA
Rfam family: Bacterial small subunit ribosomal RNA
Source: RNAcentral
UACGAAGGGGGCUAGCGUUGCUCGGAUUUACUGGGCGUAAAGGGCGCGUAGGCGGAUUUCUAAGUCGGGGGUGAAAGCCCAGGGCUCAACCCUGGAAUUGCCUUCGAUACUGGAAGUCUUGAGUACGGGAGAGGUGAGUGGAACUCCGAGUGUAGAGGUGAAAUUCGUAGAUAUUCGGAAGAACACCAGUGGCGAAGGCGGUUGCCUGGAGCUUUGCUGACGCUGAGGCGCGAAAGCGUGGGGAGCGAGUCCGG